GAUGAACGCUGGCGGCGUGCCUAAUACAUGCAAGUCGAGCGAACAGACGAGGAGCUUGCUCCUCUGACGUUAGCGGCGGACGGGUGAGUAACACGUGGAUAACCUACCUAUAAGACUGGGAUAACUUCGGGAAACCGGAGCUAAUACCGGAUAAUAUAUUGAACCGCAUGGUUCAAUAGUGAAAGACGGUUUUGCUGUCACUUAUAGAUGGAUCCGCGCCGCAUUAGCUAGUUGGUAAGGUAACGGCUUACCAAGGCAACGAUGCUUAGCCGACCUGAGAGGGUGAUCGGCCACACUGGAACUGAGACACGGUCCAGACUCCUACGGGAGGCAGCAGUAGGGAAUCUUCCGCAAUGGGCGAAAGCCUGACGGAGCAACGUCGCGUGAGUGAUGAAGGUCUUCGGAUCGUAAAACUCUGUUAUUAGGGAAGAACAAAUGUGUAAGUAACUAUGCACGUCUUGACGGUACCUAAUCAGAAAGCCACGGCUAACUACGUG
This 497-nucleotide ribosomal RNA is filed under the name uncultured bacterium. RNAcentral describes it as "partial 16S ribosomal RNA". It matches the Rfam family "Bacterial small subunit ribosomal RNA", at positions 28 to 507 of the family's 1533-position model. The record is from RNAcentral.